GACGCGGUGGUGGCCUAAUGGUUAGCGCGUUGGACUCCGGAUCGAGCGGUCCGGGUCAGUCGAGCCCUGGCCUUGUUCA
This is a non-coding RNA of Desmophyllum pertusum, 79 nucleotides long. The record is from the annotation of a GenBank genome assembly. Lineage: Eukaryota; Metazoa; Cnidaria; Anthozoa; Scleractinia; Caryophylliidae.